Molecule: long non-coding RNA, 586 nt
Filed under: Actinidia chinensis (golden kiwifruit)
Lineage: Eukaryota; Viridiplantae; Streptophyta; Magnoliopsida; Ericales; Actinidiaceae
Description: long non-coding RNA (ACHI_LNC000137)
Source: RNAcentral
GAACAAGGGCUACAAGUGAGACUGAAAUACAUGAGAGAGAGAGUUCCAAGAAGAAGAGUUUAUCGGUGUUUGACGUUGAAGAGAGAGAGUGAGAUCUUCGUUACAUCCCAAUCUUCCUCUGCGCAGAGAGAGAGAGAGAGAGAGAGCGAUAAUAAAACCUCGUUGGGGUUUUUCCGAAAGCGGUCCUGGGAGGAGGAGAUAAGAUAGAGGUCAUUUUUAGGGAAAUUUAGCGUCAGUACCAUUAUAAGAAAGUCUUGUUACAUAGGUCGAUUAUAAAGAUGAUAACCCCAAUAAUCCUCUUUUACCAAGUGGACGUCGGAUAACAUUGUCACUUUUUUAUUUUUUGUGUUUAUUUUAUAUUUAUUUAAUUUUAUUUAUUUUUUAUUAAAUAUAAAUUAAAAAUAUAUUUGUGUUCAUCUAUUUUUAAAAUAUUUAAAAAUAAAAACAUGAUGAGUGAAAACACAAUCUUCCUCUGCGCAAAAAGAGAGAGAGAGGAGCGAUAAUAAAACCUCGUCGGGGUUUUUCCGAAAGCGGUCCUGGGAGGAGGAGAUAAGAUAGAGGUCAUUUUUAGGGAAAUUUAGCGUCA